UGCACAUACCAAUCCAGUGGGAAUUAAGCUGAGAAUGUUCCCACACAAGAUCUAUCCCAGCGGGCUCAGAGUUCUGAACUUGAGGCCAUAAAUUCACCAGGCCCUGAGGGACUCAGCUUGACCUCUACUCUCUUCCCUUGCCCUACAGUGGUUUCCUGAACAGCUGAGCAGAUGGAAGACCUGAUUCUUCAGUUUUGAGAAAGUCAGAUUCUGCUUCUCCUGACUCUUGCUCUGUUGCACUUCUAAUUUCUGAGUCAGCUUAGACUGAGCUGAGUGUGAAUCAGGAGACCAACUUCUGCAUCCUAAGGGAGCUUGACUUGGCUUCCAAGGAGUUCAUCUUCGACGCUUAUGACUCUGAGUCCCGAAAAUGAGCCAACGAGGCAAUCUUUCUUCCUCCUGGAUUUGACUGGCACGAGACUGUUUCUAAGACACAGAGGAGCAAGGAUUUGGGGAAGAUGGCCACCUGACGGCAGCUUUUUUCUCCUUGGAUCCCAGCUCCCAAUUCCUCACUUUCAGAGCUGGGAGAGAAGGAGAUGAGGGCUGAGUGCAGGCUUUCAUCCUCCAGACCAAUGCUGACCUGGAGCUGCUCCGGCAUAUAGGAAAGAAAGGCUGGGAUCCUGGGAAAAAAAAUGCUCAUUCUGAGAUCCGUGGCCACAUCUGCUGGAGAGCGCCCAAUGUUUCUGGUUCCUUUGAGGCCAGGUGGGAGCUGGGUCUGGAGCUGUGGCCUCGCCCACCCGGAAGUGGCAGCG
This 749-nucleotide long non-coding RNA is filed under the name Heterocephalus glaber (naked mole-rat). RNAcentral's name for it is "lncRNA (ENSHGLG00100047212.1)". The record is from RNAcentral. Lineage: Eukaryota; Metazoa; Chordata; Mammalia; Rodentia; Bathyergidae.